GGAUCGAUAGCGCAGUCUGGGAGCGCACGGCACUGAAGACGCCGCCUGCCCCGGUUCGAAUCCGGGUCGAUCCG
RNAcentral lists this transfer RNA (74 nucleotides) under Halorubrum aidingense JCM 13560. RNAcentral describes it as "tRNA-Phe". It matches the Rfam family "tRNA". From Rfam's summary of the family: Transfer RNA (tRNA) molecules are approximately 80 nucleotides in length. Their secondary structure includes four short double-helical elements and three loops (D, anti-codon, and T loops). Further hydrogen bonds mediate the characteristic L-shaped molecular structure. tRNAs have two regions of fundamental functional importance: the anti-codon, which is responsible for specific mRNA codon recognition, and the 3' end, to which the tRNAs corresponding amino acid is attached (by aminoacyl-tRNA synthetases). tRNAs cope with the degeneracy of the genetic code in two manners: having more than one tRNA (with a specific anti-codon) for a particular amino acid; and 'wobble' base-pairing, i.e. permitting non-standard base-pairing at the 3rd anti-codon position. The record is from RNAcentral. Lineage: Archaea; Methanobacteriati; Methanobacteriota; Halobacteria; Halobacteriales; Haloferacaceae.